UUGUUGUUUGUGUUGUUUUCUAACAAAUCAGAAAUGGUGAAAACGGCAGUAGGAUGUACUUCUAAUCUAAUUGGUUACAAAGGAAUCAAACUCUAUCCCGCCACCCCACCUUCAUUACAUAGUAGGCUUAGUUAUAACUGGUUAGUUACAUAUUGUGCUCUUAUUGUUCUUGCCACCACACCAGUAAUUAUUUGCUCAUUAAAUUCAAAAGUUAUGGCGGAACAAAGUUCGCUUUUGCACUUCUUUAAAAAGCUACAAAUGGAGGAUGAAGAAGAAAAAACACCAAGAUCGCAUUCGAGCCCAAUCCCUCGGAUACCUGAUAAGCCGAUUAGGAGGAUAGCAAGUCAGACCUCGAGGAAGUUAGCAAUAGCACUUCAGGCCCAACCUUUAAGGACUCGGGAGCUAGCAGAUCAGCAGCCAAGGAGGAGCUUAGUGUUAGUGUUCCUACUGCAUCGAUUUCAACAACAGCCCAGAAUAACCAUCACUCUGCACCACCUGCGGAUUUGUCUGCAGUAGAGGAACCGCCAACACAACCAAAAUUAUGACCAGCGAAAAGGAUGAAAGAGCAAGGUAUAACCUUAUUUCCCGGCAUGUAUUUGCCUUCGCAAGACCUUCUGCAUCACCAACAUUGUCCUAGAAUGUCCCACAUGCAAAGAAACGCAGCGCUAUGCAGACAGACUGAACACUGGUCAAGGCAUGGCUACGAUACUCAUCAGGGAAGCCCAGUGGAGAACUUCUGUCUCUGAAGACCCUUGGAGAACUGGUAAUGUAUGUGCCAUUUUAAAGAAAACAUACGUGAGCAGGCAAAACACAUUUCUCUUAUUUCUUAUGGGAUUCAUAGUCAACUGUAGGAUUUAACAGAAUUACACAAUCAUAAAACAAAACAUGGCAACAAAGAACAAAAUGAAAU
Molecule: long non-coding RNA, 910 nt
Organism: Esox lucius (northern pike)
Lineage: Eukaryota; Metazoa; Chordata; Actinopteri; Esociformes; Esocidae
Exons: 3
Source: RefSeq, a predicted model, not a curated record